GCCCUCACGUGUCCCACCAUGGCUUCACGUGUCCUACCAUGACCUCACGUGGCCCACCACAGCUUCACGUGUCCUACCAUGGCUUCACGUGUCCUAUCAUGGCUUCACAUGUUCUACCAUGGCUUCAUGUGUCCCACCACCACCUCGCGUGUCCCACCAGGGCCUCACGUGUUCUACCAUGGCUUCACAUGUCCUACCGUGGCCUCACAUGUUCUACCACGGCUUCACAUGCCCCACCACGGCUUCAUGUCUCAACACCAUGGCUUCACAUGUUCUACCAUGGCUUCACGUGUCCUACCAUGGCUUCACAUGUCCCUCCACCACCUCACAUGUCCUACCAUGGCUUCACAUGUUUACCAUGCCCUCACGUGUCCCACCAUGGCCUCAUGUGUUCUACCAUGGCUUCACGUGCCCUAUCAUGGCUUCACGUGUCCCACCACGGCUUCACGUGUCCUACCAUGGCUUCACGUGUUCUACCAUGGCUUCACGUGUCCCAUCAUGGCUUCACAUGUUCUACCAUGGCCUCACGUGUUCUACCACGGCUUCACAUGUUCUGCCAUGGCCUCACAUGUCCCACCAUGGCUUCACGUGUCCCACCACGGCUUCAUGUGUCCCACCACAGGCUCACGUGUCCCACCAUGGCCUCAUGUGUCCCACCAUGGCCUCAAGUGUCCUACCAUGUCCUCACGUGUCCCACCACAGCCUCACGUGUCCCACCACGGCCUCACGUGUCCCACCACGGCUCCACGUGUCCCACCACGGCCUCACGUGUCCCACCACGGCCCCACGUGUCCCACCACGGCCUCACGUGUCCCACCAUGGCCUCCCAUGUCCCACCAUGGCCUCCAAUGUCCCACCAUCGCCUCCCAUGUCCUACCAUGGCCUCCCAUGACCUACCACGACUUUACGUGUCCCACUACAGCUUCACGUGUCCCACCACGGCCUCACGUGUCCCACCACAGCCUAACGUGUCCCACCACAGCCUCCCAUGUCCUACCACGGCUUUACAUGUCCCACCACGGCCUCAGGUGUCCCACCAUGGCCCCACAUGUCCCAGCACGGCUCCACGUGUGCCACCACGGCCUCACAUGUCCCACCAUGACCUCACGUGUCCCACCACCACCUCACGUGUGCCACCAUGGCCUCCCAUGUCCCACCAUGGCCUCCCAUGACCUACCACGGCUUUCCAUGUCCCACCACGGCCCCACGUGUCCCACCACGGCCCCACGUGUCCCACCACGGCCUCACGUGUCCCACCAUGGCCUCCCACGUCCCACCAUCGCCUCCAAUGUCCCACCAUGGCUUUACGUGUCCCACUACAGCUUCACGUGUCCCACCAUGGCCUCACGUGUCC
RNAcentral lists this long non-coding RNA (1354 nucleotides) under Numida meleagris (helmeted guineafowl). RNAcentral describes it as "lncRNA (ENSNMEG00000006334.1)". Lineage: Eukaryota; Metazoa; Chordata; Aves; Galliformes; Numididae. The record is from RNAcentral.